RNAcentral lists this ribosomal RNA (240 nucleotides) under uncultured bacterium. RNAcentral's name for it is "partial 16S ribosomal RNA". It matches the Rfam family "Bacterial small subunit ribosomal RNA", at positions 91 to 334 of the family's 1533-position model. The record is from RNAcentral.
ACGAGUGGCGGACGGGUGAGUAACGCGUAGGAAUAUGCCCAGUAGCGGGGGAUAGCCCGGGGAAACUCGGAUUAAUACCGCAUACGCCCUACGGGGGAAAGCGGGGGAUCUUCGGACCUCGCACUAUUGGAGUAGCCUGCGUUGGAUUAGCUUGUUGGUGGGGUAAAGGCCUACCAAGGCGACGAUCCAUAGCUGAUCUGAGAGGACGAUCAGCCACACUGGGACUGAGACACGGCCCAG